RNAcentral lists this ribosomal RNA (468 nucleotides) under uncultured bacterium. RNAcentral describes it as "partial 16S ribosomal RNA". It matches the Rfam family "Bacterial small subunit ribosomal RNA", at positions 28 to 507 of the family's 1533-position model. The record is from RNAcentral.
GACGAACGCUGGCGGCGUGCCUAACACAUGCAGGUCGAACGGAAAGGCCCUGCUUUUGUGGGGUGCUCGAGUGGCGAACGGGUGAGUAACACGUGAGUAACCUGCCCUUGACUUUGGGAUAACUUCAGGAAACUGGGGCUAAUACCGGAUAGGAGCUCCUGCUGCAUGGUGGGGGUUGGAAAGUUUCGGCGGUUGGGGAUGGACUCGCGGCUUAUCAGCUUGUUGGUGGGGUAGUGGCUUACCAAGGCUUUGACGGGUAGCCGGCCUGAGAGGGUGACCGGCCACAUUGGGACUGAGAUACGGCCCAGACUCCUACGGGAGGCAGCAGUGGGGAAUAUUGCACAAUGGGCGGAAGCCUGAUGCAGCAACGCCGCGUGCGGGAUGACGGCCUUCGGGUUGUAAACCGCUUUCGCCUGUGACGAAGCGUGAGUGACGGUAAUGGGUAAAGAAGCACCGGCUAACUACGUG